Rhea pennata is the source of this 1795-nucleotide long non-coding RNA. RefSeq lists it as uncharacterized. Lineage: Eukaryota; Metazoa; Chordata; Aves; Rheiformes; Rheidae. The transcript has 3 exons. The record is from RefSeq and is a predicted model, not a curated record.
GCAUCUGUAUAUUUUGCAGUCUAGCAGUACUGCAAAAUGAAGUUGUUUCCCAGAGGUCGAGGAGGGAUGAGGACGGAUGAAGCCAAGCAGCACUUUGCAAGAGGGAAACUGCUGCUGUUCAAGCAUGCCCCUGACACCGUGGGGAAGGGAGGUUUGGGAGCUGCUGGAGGAAUGGGAAGUGUCUGAAGUCCGUGGGCCCGUGAGCAGAGCCCUCUCCUUCCUCCACACCAGCUUCCUCAGCAUCACCAGGUCCUCAGGUUUAAGCGAGUGCCCCCAAAGUCCCAACGCGCUGCACAGCACUUCGUAACGCUGCCUGAUCUGGGCAAGGUCGUCCACCCGGUUGUCCGUCCCACCGUGUGUGUUGAUUUCCGCAAGUGCAGUUCAAUUACUUUUGUUCAUCCUUCCAACGCAGGGGGAAGCUGACGAUGAACCAGAACUGAGCACGAGAGGAAGCAAUCGGCAGAAAGUGAUCUGAGGACACGUUGUCCUGUAUAAAGUCAAGUCUGCAGAGUAAAGAAGCUGCAAAGUUUUGGUACAACAAGGGAAAGCAUGAGGGAAAAAGGUUUCAAAUGCUCAUUACACUGUGGGGUUUGGUGUGGUGAAGCAACAGCUUUUGGAAAAGGAACAAAAGAGUUGCGACAAUCUGGGGAGGAAAAAACUUAAAAAUAUCUGUAGUGUGCUCAAAAUUAACUAGAGCUUGUAGCAAAGCAAGAUCCUCCUACAGGAGAGCUGCCAGCAGCAAUAGCAGGUGUUUGGCAGGAGGAAGAUCCCCAAGAAGAGGUGAGUGAUUCAAGCUGCCUUACAGAAAUUAAGGCUACAUGAUUUUCUGUCUCGUUUACCUGGCUGUAAAGUCAGCAGUACAGACCCGCUGCAACACGAAGCCCCACAGGCACCCAGCUACACCUGAGGACCGUGUCACUGCAGGAGCUUUCAGGGGUUUGUUUGUACCCAGGUGGUUUCCAUCUUCCCGCCAAGCCACUUUUCGGACAGGCAGCUCGGACCCCAGCGGCUGCCCCAUGGCUGCUGAGCCCUCUGGUGAUGCUGCCCCACGCUCCCCUCCAUGAGCUGGCUCUCCUACAGCUGCUUCCAACAGCGUUAAGCCUGAAGAGGUGACCUUAAGGCAAAAUGCGUACCUGGGCUGGUAAAACUUGACAGAAUCGCAGAACGGGUAAGGUUGGAAGGGGCCUCUGGAGAUACCUAAUCCGACCUCCCUGCUCAAGCAGGGUCACCUGGACACUAGCUAUUAAAUAGACCCAAACAUACUGGUAAAAGCAAGGCAAAGCUAAGAUGCAUUUUUUUAAUUGUUAUUCCAGCAGAAUAUCCCUGUCACUCGGAAGCACAGACCGAUCCCCGGGGAUUGGCACAUUGGCCAGUUACGGCUCCCUCUUGGCUGGGUCCUGCGGAAGAGCGGAGCUGCCGGCCAGCACCCCGCAGCUGCUCAGCGUCCCCGUGUUUGGGAGCGAGGAGGGACACGCUGGAAGGAGGAUAAACCCUCAUUUUCCUCCUGCCUCCCUGCAUCCAACAAACCUUCAAAAAUCUCAGACGGAUGGUGAGAGCGUGUUUAUUAGGAGCGAAGUCGUGAGGACGCUUUGGCACAUCUCAGUCACUCCUGCAGAGCGUGUUUAGCACUACGGAUAUUACUGCUUUAUCGAAGGAUGGCGCUUCUCUGUACGUGUGCAUCUGGGGUUUCCGCUGCGUUGUGCCUUGCUCUUCAGCCCCCAUCCCCUUGCUCCGGUAACAUCCAUCAUAAGUUUCUGAGACUCUUCUAAUUUUGGAGGCCUUUAGCAAAUCAGAC